This 23-nucleotide non-coding RNA is filed under the name Cricetulus griseus (Chinese hamster). Lineage: Eukaryota; Metazoa; Chordata; Mammalia; Rodentia; Cricetidae. The record is from RNAcentral.
AAGGAGCUCUUAUGGAGGUGGCU